Molecule: ribosomal RNA, 216 nt
Filed under: uncultured bacterium
Lineage: Bacteria
Description: partial 16S ribosomal RNA
Rfam family: Bacterial small subunit ribosomal RNA
Source: RNAcentral
AGCAACCUGCCUUUCAGAGGGGGAUAACAUUUGGAAACAGAUGCUAAUACCGCAUAAGAUUACAGUACCGCAUGAUACAGUGAUCAAAGGAGCAAUCCGCUGAAAGACGGGCUCGCGUCCGAUUAGAUAGUUGGUGAGGUAACGGCUCACCAAGUCGACGAUCGGUAGCCGGACUGAGAGGUUGAACGGCCACAUUGGGACUGAGACACGGCCCAG